Molecule: ribosomal RNA, 437 nt
Filed under: Wolbachia pipientis
Lineage: Bacteria; Pseudomonadati; Pseudomonadota; Alphaproteobacteria; Rickettsiales; Anaplasmataceae
Description: bacterial SSU rRNA
Rfam family: Bacterial small subunit ribosomal RNA
Source: RNAcentral
CAUACCUAUUCGAAGGGAUAGGGUCGGUUUGGCCGGAUUUCACACAGGUGUUGCAUGGCUGUCGUCAGCUCGUGUCGUGAGAUGUUGGGUUAAGUCCCGCAACGAGCGCAACCCUCAUCCUUAGUUACCAUCAGGUUAUGCUGGGGACUUUAAGGAAACUGCCAGUGAUAAACUGGAGGAAGGUGGGGAUGAUGUCAAGUCAUCAUGGCCCUUAUGGAGUGGGCUACACACGUGCUACAAUGGUGAUUACAAUGGGCUGCAAGGUCGCAAGGCGGAGCUAAUCCUAAAAAAUCAUCUCAGUUCGGAUUGUUCUCUGCAACUCGAGAGCAUGAAGUUGGAAUCGCUAGUAAUCGUGGAUCAGCAUGCCACGGUGAAUACGUUCUCGGGUCUUGUACACACUGCCCGUCACGCCAUGGGAAUUGGUUUCACUCGAAGCU